CCUACGGGUGACAGCAGUGGGGGAUAUUGCACAAUGGGGGAAACCCUGAUGCAGCGACGCCGCGUGUGGGAAGACGGUCCUCUGGAUUGUAAACCACUGUCCCCAGGGACGAAGAUGACGGUACCUGGGGAGGAAGCUCCGGCUAACUACAUGCCAGCAGCCGCGGUAAUACGUAGGGAGCGAGCGGUGUCCGGAAUUACUGGGUGAAAAGGGAGCGUAGGCGGGGAUGCAAGUUGGGUGUCAAAACUACGGGCUCAACUGGUAGUCGCACUCAAAACUGCAGCUCUUGAGUGAAGGAGAGGCAGGCGGAAUUCCUAGUGUAGCGGUGAAAUGCGUAGAUAUUAGGAGGAACAUCAGUGGCGAAGGCGACUAUCUGGCACAUAACUGACGCUGAGGAGCGAAAGCGUGGGUAGCAAACAGGAUUAGAUACCCGAGUAGUC
This 440-nucleotide ribosomal RNA is filed under the name uncultured bacterium. Its description in RNAcentral is "partial 16S ribosomal RNA". It matches the Rfam family "Bacterial small subunit ribosomal RNA", at positions 338 to 795 of the family's 1533-position model. The record is from RNAcentral.